UGCCAGCAGCCGCGGUAAUACGGGAGUGGCAAGUGUUAUUCAAAAUUACUGGGCGUAAAGAGUACGUAGGCGGCUUAUUAAGUUAUAUGUUAAAUCCCUAGGCAUAACCUAGGAAAAAUAUGUAAAACAAGUAAGCUAGAAUUAGAUAGGGGAUAGUGGAAUUUCUCAUGUAGGGUUAAGUUCCGUAGAUAUGAGAAGGAACAUCGGAAGCGAAGGCGACUAUCUGGAUCUAUAUUGACGCUGAGGUACGAAGGCGUAGGGAGCAAAGGGGAUUAGAUA
Molecule: ribosomal RNA, 279 nt
Filed under: uncultured bacterium
Lineage: Bacteria
Description: partial 16S ribosomal RNA
Rfam family: Bacterial small subunit ribosomal RNA
Source: RNAcentral